UCCGUAGGUAAGUAAACAUCGACAACAUGCUCUUUUCCCCUUCAAAAAUCAAUAACUAACAUAAUCCAAGGUGAACCUGCGGAGGGAUCAUUAC
Molecule: ribosomal RNA, 94 nt
Filed under: Trypethelium eluteriae
Lineage: Eukaryota; Fungi; Ascomycota; Dothideomycetes; Trypetheliales; Trypetheliaceae
Description: partial 18S ribosomal RNA
Source: RNAcentral